CAGUAGCCACGGUAAUACGGAGGGUGCAAGCGUUAAUCGGAAUUACUGGGCGUAAAGCGCACGCAGGCGGUCUGACAAGUCAGAUGUGAAAUCCCCGGGCUUAACCUGGGAACUGCAUUUGAAACUGUCAGGCUGGAGUCUUGUAGAGGGGGGUGGAAUUCCAGGUGUAGCGGUGAAAUGCGUAGAGAUCUGGAGGAAUACCGGUGGCGAAGGCGGCCCCCUGGACAAAGACUGACGCUCAGGUGCGAAAGCGUGGGAGCAAACAGGAUUAGAUACCCCUGUAGUCCCUGUCUCUUAUACA
This 301-nucleotide ribosomal RNA is filed under the name uncultured bacterium. RNAcentral describes it as "partial 16S ribosomal RNA". It matches the Rfam family "Bacterial small subunit ribosomal RNA", at positions 509 to 808 of the family's 1533-position model. The record is from RNAcentral.